RNAcentral lists this ribosomal RNA (492 nucleotides) under uncultured bacterium. RNAcentral's name for it is "partial 16S ribosomal RNA". It matches the Rfam family "Bacterial small subunit ribosomal RNA", at positions 29 to 507 of the family's 1533-position model. The record is from RNAcentral.
AGUGAACGCUGGCGGUAGGCCUAACACAUGCAAGUCGAACGGCAGCACAGUAAGAGCUUGCUCUUACGGGUGGCGAGUGGCGGACGAGUGAGGAAUACAUCGGAAUCUACUUUUUCGUGGGGGAUAACGUAGGGAAACUUACGCUAAUACCGCAUACGACCUACGGGUGAAAGCAGGGGAUCUUCGGACCUUGCGCGAUUGAAUGAGCCGAUGUCGGAUUAGCUAGUUGGCGGGGUAAAGGCCCACCAAGGCGACGAUCCGUAGCUGGUCUGAGAGGAUGAUCAGCCACACGGGAACUGAGACACGGUCCAGGCUCCUAUGGGAGGCAGCAGUGGGGAAUAUUGGACAAUGGGCGCAAGCCUGAUCCAGCCAUACCGCGUGGGUGAAGAAGGCCUUCGGGUUGUAAAGCCCUUUUGUUGGGAAAGAAAAGCAGCAGGUUAAUACCACGCUGUUCUGACGGUACCCAAAGAAUAAGCACCGGCUAACUUCGUG